GAUGAACGCUAGCGGCAGGCUUAAUACAUGCAAGUCGAGGGGCAGCAGCUUUAUAGCAAUAUAGAGGCUGGCGACCGGCAAACGGGUGCGGAACACGUACACAACCUUCCUUUAAGAGGGGGAUAGCCCAUAGAAAUGUGGAUUAAUACCCCGUAACAUAUCGGUGUGGCAUCACACUGUUAUUAUAGUUUCGACGCUUGAAGAUGGGUGUGCGGCUGAUUAGGUAGUUGGCGGGGUAAAGGCCCACCAAGCCUUCGAUCAGUAGCUGAUGUGAGAGCACGAUAAGCCACAAGGGAGCUGAGACCCGGGCCCGAAUCCUACGAGAGGCAGCAGUAAGGAAUAUUGGUCAAUGGACGCAAGUCUGAACCAGCCAUGCCGCGUGAAGGAUGAAGGUCCUCUGGAUUGUAAACUUCUUUUAUAGGGGGCGAAAAAAGGGAAUUCUUUCUCACUUGACAGUACCCUAUGAAUAAGCACCGGCUAACUCCGUGCCAGCAGCCGCAGUAA
Molecule: ribosomal RNA, 504 nt
Filed under: uncultured bacterium
Lineage: Bacteria
Description: partial 16S ribosomal RNA
Rfam family: Bacterial small subunit ribosomal RNA
Source: RNAcentral